AUACGGAGGGUGCAAGCGUUACUCGGAAUCACUGGGCGUAAAGCGCGCGCAGGCGGCUAUUUAAGUUGGAUGUGAAAGCCUACGGCUCAACCGUAGAACUGCAUCCAAAACUAUUUAGCUAGAGUGUGGGAGAGGAAGAUGGAAUUAGUUGUGUAGGGGUAAAAUCCGUAGAGAUAACUAGGAAUACCAAAAGCGAAGGCAAUCUUCUGGAACACUACUGACGCUGAGGCGCGAAAGCGUGGGGAGCAAACGGGAUUAGAUACCCGUGUAGUCC
Molecule: ribosomal RNA, 274 nt
Filed under: uncultured bacterium
Lineage: Bacteria
Description: partial 16S ribosomal RNA
Rfam family: Bacterial small subunit ribosomal RNA
Source: RNAcentral